Molecule: unclassified non-coding RNA, 341 nt
Filed under: Hevea brasiliensis (rubber tree)
Lineage: Eukaryota; Viridiplantae; Streptophyta; Magnoliopsida; Malpighiales; Euphorbiaceae
Source: RNAcentral
CUUCUUCGAGGUUAAGGACCUCACCGAGAGUGAUUCCAAUGUUUUAUUGGGGGAAAAAGAGUAUAAUCUUUGAAUUACAAAGAAAGUUCAAUCUUUCAUAAUUUUCUACUUUUUUUUUUUUCUCCUUUUUCCCACUCACUGUCUCUAUGUUUGCUGGACUAUGAUAUAUCAUCAUUGGUUGAGAAUUGAUCUUCAAUUGACAUAGCAUUGGCGGUUUUGGUUCAAUCCAAUUUCUUUCACUUUUGUCUGCUAUAUAGGAUUUUUCUGGAUUAAAGAACAUUUCCCGGGUCUCGCUUUUCUCCCAAUUUUCAUCUCAUCUUGGUGAAAAUCUUAUAUGGGUU